Molecule: long non-coding RNA, 5720 nt
Filed under: Populus tremula
Lineage: Eukaryota; Viridiplantae; Streptophyta; Magnoliopsida; Malpighiales; Salicaceae
Description: long non-coding RNA (PTRE_LNC002832)
Source: RNAcentral
ACAUGAUGGGUCGCGAUGACAUUCCAGUUGGUCUAGGAGAGGUGUUUGCAAUGAACCAGUCUGAUCCUGUUUUCCCUGCGGUUGGAGACUGCAAGUACCUCAAGGCCAUCCCUCACGGGAGUGGUGGACUUUUAGACUCGGACACUCUCUAUGGCCUUGCUCGUGAUUUACCGCGAAGCCCUAGAAGGUAUAAUUUCCCUCCAUAGAUGUUUAUGCCUUUUCUUUCCUCUUAUUUGAACCGUGAUCUUGCUUUAUUCGGGACUCAAAUAUCGACGGCUUAUUUUUCUUCUCAAGGUAUACUGCAGAAAACUCUGUAAAAUAUAGAGCUCCUCGCGACACAGAUCACCCUGAGCUCAGGCAGCCUCUAGCACUGGAAAUCUGGGAUUCCAUUGUAGGAACAUUGGAUCCAGGAUCCAAGAUUACCAUAUUGACCAACGGCCCCUUGACUAGUUUAGCCAAGAUAAUACAGAAUGAGAAUAAUACAAGCUCUGUGAUUCAGGUAAGUGGACUUUAUCUGCUAUUGUCAAAGUAACUUGCAACUAAUGUCGUGCCACGCAGUGGUGGUACACAUGCUCAUGAUGUUUCAAAUGUCAUUGCAGGAUGUUUAUGUUGUUGGAGGACAUAUCAGCCAUAGUGAUACAGACAAAGGAAAUGUUUUGACUAUUGAUAGUAAUGAGUAUACAGAACUAAAUAUGUUUCUUGAUCCCCUGGCUGCUAAGACAGUUUUCGAGUCAUCACUUGACAUUACGCUCAUUCCACUUGGCGUCCAACGUAGAGUCAGUUCCUUUCCUAAGAUCCUAAGAAGUUUAAGCAGCAAGACGAAAAGAACACCUGAGGAAUUGUUUGUACGGCGUUUGCUAUCAAGGCUUUACCGCCUGAAAGAAACUCAUCACAGAUAUCAUCACAUGGUAAGGAUCAUUUCAUAGACUUUCUGAAUAUUGAAGAGCUUAAAUUUGUUUGCUAAGAGACUAUAGUUGUAUCCGGGGAGCAUGCUUGAUCCUUCUCCAAGGGAGAGAGUCUUUUAGCUGCCACUACUGAAUGAGCUUGCUCUGCAGGAUACAUUCUUGGGCGAAAUCCUUGGUGCAGUAGUCUUAGCUGGGGAUCAUUCCAAGCUUGAGCCAAUCUGGCUAGCCAAACCUGUCAUGAUCCUUGCUGAAGGUGAUGAAUCGAAAGAUGGACAAGUUGUGAUCGAUGAAAAACAAGGAAAAUUUGUCAAGAUAUUGGAGAAUGUAGAGCCUGAGGCACAUUAUGAUCUUUUCGCAAAGCAACUCACCGUUAAGAAGCAAUCUGCUGUCGUUGGAAGCUUUGGUGAACAGAGAAGAAUUUGGGGUGUGCCACCAAAUUGAAUCAGAGGGGUAUUCCUUACUGAUACAUUGGUCUGAACAUUAUACCCUGACAGCAGUAAAUGAUUUUUUAUUUUUAUUACUGUUAUUAGUGGAGGAUUUCACUGGAUCAAUCAUAUUUCUUGCAAAAAUAAUUCUUUCUGUUUUGUACUUAGCACAUUGAAAGAGAAACAAAAAAAGGUAGCUUAUAUAGUAAAAAAUUGAAGGAAUACAUUGAAAAAUCGGGCGAGUGUCUGUGUUUUACUUAACAAAAUUCUAGCUUAUGUAGUAAAACAUUCUCGGAGCAUAAAAGUAUUUUCUAUGUUAUUAGAAUUAUAAAACCUGUGUAUUCGCAGUUGGAAACUAUGUGUUUUAAUUUUAAAAUCAAGAAUUUGAUGAAUGUCUUUGAAAUAUAUAUAUAUAUAUAUAUAUAGUUGGUAAUUAAGUUUUGAAAUGUUAUUUCUAUUUCAUGUUACAUUUUAUUCAAACAAAAUCAAGUCUAUCAUAUCCAAAGAGAAAUGCUACUGCUCUACUGAAAAAACAUAAUUACCUGAAUUUACUUCCAUAAUUGUUUAUUUUUUUUGUUUUGGCAAAAUGAAUUAUUAAAAUUUAAACCAUGUCUAAUUAAAAUUAAAUAUUUUUUCUAUAAAAUUAAACUAGAGAAUACCUAACACGAAUUAACAAUAAUAAUUGCUUUGAAUUAUUUGUUGGGGUUUGAUCAGAUUAUUUGUGAAAUAAUCCUUGGGAUUGUUUUUGAAAUAAAUUUAGUAUCGGUUGACUAACGCAAGACAAUCCAAGAUAUCUCUUACCAUAAAUGAAGGAGAGAAAAAUAGCACUAAAUAUGGCGGAGAAAAUGAAUGCACGCAUCUUUGAAAAAGGAAGGUGCGUGCAUGGUAGGAAGAUGUAUAAUUACAUAAAUUCUUUAGUACAAAAUCAGAUAUCUGUAGCCAUCAUAAUUAAUGAAAAAUCUAUCAAAACUCCUGUAUAUAGCGAUCUAGUCUCCCGUCUCUUGUUUGUUUUUCAAAGAAUGGGACUUGGUCGGUAAAGCAUAUCCUGAAUCGGAGGAGAGAAAAUGCUGCAGCAGAAGAAUCUCUGGGUGCUCUUAGCAUUGAUUAAUACUAUAGGACUUGUUGGAUUUAAUCAUCUGUGCCAUGCAGAGGGAAAGGCACACCGUAUUCUCCUGGACACAGAUGUCGAUACUGAUGACGUCUUAGCUCUUUUCUACCUCUUGAAGCUCAACAGAUCACGAUUUGGAUUGGAGGUCAGUCUGUCAAUUGAUCAAGCAUGUGUUUAACAAAUUACAUCAAUCGAGUCUGCUUUGAUCACCGGUCUGCUCUCUGCUUGCUCCAGGCAGUCACCGUGAACACGAACUCAUGGACCGAUGCAGGGCAUGGUGCGAGCCAAAUCUAUGACAUUCUUUACAUGAUGGGCCGCGACGAGGUGGCUGUUGGGAUGGGAGGUGAGGGUGGAAUAGCAGAAGAUGGCCACAUAUUCCCAGAUGUUGGUGGUUUUCUUCCUAUAGUUGAACAGGUCGGUCUUCAACUGUGCCCCCCUCAUGAUCUUCUGCUAGAUUUCACUGCAAUUUUUACUGUUCUUUCCUUGUCUGUGAAUUUAUGGACUCGAUGAUACCUGAGAUUGUAUGAUAUUAAUCAGGGGAAGACAACAGCAGGAGGCUGUAGAUACAGACAAGCUAUUCCUGUUGGUCCUAGAGGACGGCUGGAUCUUGAUACUAACUACGGCUUCCGGCGAGCAUUCCUGCCGCAGGUACAGACUUAGUUAGAGCUCGUUUGGAAUCCCAGCAUGCUGCGGCGAGAAAAUUAUGUAUCCUAAUCUCAAAUAAACAUUAGCCUUGUUUGCUUCUGGUUUAGACAUGGGAUUUUGUUUUCCUAUAUACUAUACUGAUGGAAAUAAUUGAAUGAAAUAAAUAAACAAAUCAUUUUUAGCUGCCUUUUGAAAAUCAGAAUCAAUAUUUAGUAACUUUAAUGAUAUUGAGUUUUAUGAUAUUAUUAAAUUUAAUUUCUUAGUUCAUAUAUGACUUGUUUAUUUAUGGGGCUAAUCAAAUAAAAUUUAAUUAAUAAAACAAAACAAGUUGAUUAUUUUAUUUAUGAAUAUAGUUGAAAUAUUUCUUAAAUAAACUAGUUAGUUUUUAAAAUGGACAAAAGAAUUAGUUCUUUUUUUUUAUAAAAUUUUGUUGAUAAAUUAACCAGGGCAGCAGGAAAUAUUCUCCUCUUGAACAGCCAACCGCCCAACAAGUGCUGACAGAAAAGAUAUCUGCAGGUCCUAUCACUGUUUUAAUUACAGGAGCUCAUACAAAUAUUGGCGUUUUUCUUAUGAACAAUCCACACCUGAAGAACAAUAUUGAACAUAUAUACGUGAUGGGUGGGGCCGUGAGGUCAGACGGCAAUCUGUUUGCAGACCUCUAUAGUAAUCCUUUUGCUGAAUUUAAUAUAUUUGCAGAUCCUUUUGCUGCAUACCAGGUAUUUCAUUAAUUAAUAAGCAAAAAUAAAUAUAUAUAUUAGCUAGGUAAUAUUAAGAAUUGUUGCCUGUGAUUAUUAAUGGAGAGUACGCAAAUUUGCUUCUAGGUUUUACAUUCUGGAAUUCCUCUCACCCUUGUUCCCCUCGAUGCAACCAAUACCAUUCCUACAAAUGAGAAUUUCUUCAAGGCAUUUGAGCAGAACCAGCACACCUACGAGGCACAAUACUGCUUCCGGUCCUUGAAAAUGACUCGAGACACUAGGCCUGACGACAACUUUUACACUGUAAUCCUUCCGUAUCUUCCUUUUCGUUUUGUUCUUCUUCUUCAAGAUUCCUCAGCGGCAAGUGACAGUUUCCUUUUAUACGAUUGUCGAUGGGAUGCGUGUUUCAGUGAGUGACAAGAUUUUUUGCAGAGCCAUUACAUGUGGGACACCUUCGCAGUUGGUGUAGCAGUUUCUGCCAUGCGUAACUCGCAAAACCGAGAUGGAGAAAAUGAAUUUGCUGAGAUGGAGUACAUGAACAUAACAGUAGUGACUUCAAAUGAACCUUUUGGGAUAAGUGAUAGCUCGAAUCCAUUCUUUUACCACCGUGAAGUCCCAAGGUUUAAUCUAACGAAAGGCGGAGUGCACAGUGGUCAUGUGCAGACGGGCCUUCGAGAUCCUCUUUGCUUCGGGGAGAAUGGGAAAGGGCGGUGUGAGGUAAUCUUUCUAGAACCCCUGCAUGCCAAGUUCUGCAGUUCACAGAGAAAGAUGUAUCAUUUCUUUAAGGAUUUACCUUGUAAUUUCCUUUCCGAAAAUGGUAACUGGCCUUCUGAUGCAACAAAAUGGUCGAUAUAGGAUGGCUACACAAAGGAGGUGAGUGGUGCAGAGGCAGUGCGUGUUCUUGUUGCUACGAGAGCGAAGCCUAAUCCUGACAGGAAUAGCACACUUGACAGAGCAUUCUACAAGAGCUUCUUGGAUGUGAGUUCACCAAGGCAUUAAUCUUGUUCUUCUGAAUCUAAAGUUCUUUUUGCUUCUUCCUUAACUCUAGACCAGCAAAAUCUAAUGCAAUGGUAACACAGGUCCUGAAUGACCCUCAACAAUCUGGGAGGUUUAAUUUUACCACUCAAUUUCCUCAUUACAAGGAAGUUCUUUACAGGCCAGACUUUGGAACCAAUGGACUGGGGAAGCCUGUUGUCUUUGAUAUGGAUAUGAGUGUUGGAGAUUUCCUGGCUUUAUUCUAUCUCCUUAAAGUGCCUGUAGAAGAGAUCAACGUCAAGGUAAGCGACUUCAAUUUUCCAACAAGCAUAUACAAUUAGCUCUGCUUGUCAAAACCAAGCAAGUCAAUGUUUAAACCGAUUCAAAUUCAAACCAGCCAAGACCAGUUUCAAGUUGCAGGUUUGUCGAGUUAUCCCGUAGAAUUGUGUUCGAGUUAUCCCGUAGAGUUGUGCUCGGUUUAAUAAUUAUACUUGCGACUACCAACACAUUGGUUCCAGUUGUACAAAACACAACUAUGGUGUCUUUUUCUGUUCUCUUUCCGUCCUCUCGAAAGCAGUGGGUCUAAUGUCAUAUCCUCUUGGUCAGGGAAUCAUUGUAAGUCCAACAGGAUGGGCAAAUGCUGCGACGAUAGACAUUGUUUAUGAUUUUUUGCAUAUGAUGGGCCGUGAUGAUAUUCCAGUUGGUCUAGGAGAUGUAUUUGCAAUGAACCAGUCUGAUCCUGUUUUCUCUUCUGUUGGAGACUGCAAGUACCUCAAGGCCAUCCCUCACGGGAGUGGUGGACUUUUAGACUCGGACACUCUCUAUGGCCUUGCUCGUGAUUUACCGCGAAGCCCUAGAAGGUAUAAUUUCCCUCCAUAGAUGUUUAUGCGUUUUCUUUCCUCUUAUUUGAACCGUGAUCUUGCUUUAUUCGGGACUCAAAUAUCGAGGGCUUAUUUUUCUUCUCAAG